GGCAGAAGGAAGCCCAGUUGGGUGUCAUGGGAUGUGAUGACGAGACCAGAAUAUAUGGGGGGCCUCGGAUUCAGAGACAUGGAGAUUUUUAACCUAGCACUUCUUGCACGGUAGGCUUGGUGCACAAUGGUUUCGGAAUCCUCAUUAAGCUCCAGGAUCCUUAAAUUAGUUUACUUUCCAAACUGUUCAUUGCUAGACGCAGAGCUGGGGUCUCAUCCAUCGCAGAUUUGGAGGGCCAUUUUGGAUGGCCGGGACAUUUUGGCACAAGGCUUGAUCAGGAGGAUUGGAGGCGAAGAAACCACAGACAUUUGGGAACACAACUGGAUACCG
This 330-nucleotide ribosomal RNA is filed under the name Triticum aestivum (bread wheat). RNAcentral describes it as "partial small subunit ribosomal RNA". The record is from RNAcentral. Lineage: Eukaryota; Viridiplantae; Streptophyta; Magnoliopsida; Poales; Poaceae.